RNAcentral lists this ribosomal RNA (510 nucleotides) under uncultured Dethiobacter sp. RNAcentral describes it as "bacterial SSU rRNA". It matches the Rfam family "Bacterial small subunit ribosomal RNA", at positions 8 to 526 of the family's 1533-position model. Lineage: Bacteria; Bacillati; Bacillota; Dethiobacteria; Dethiobacterales; Dethiobacteraceae. The record is from RNAcentral.
AGAGUUUGAUCCUGGCUCAGGACGAACGCUGGCGGCGUGCCUAACACAUGCAAGUCGAACGGAGUUUGAAGGUAGCUUGCUACCUGAAAAACUUAGUGGCGCACGGGUGAGUAACACGUGGGCAAUCUGCCCGGAAGUCUGGGAUAGCAGCUCGAAAGGGCUGCUAAUACCGGAUAUCUUCAAGAAGUCGCAUGACUUAAUGAAGAAAGUUUUUUCGCUUCCGGAUGAGCCCGCGUCCCAUUGGCUAGUUGGUGAGGUAACGGCUCACCAAGGCAACGAUGGGUAGCUGGUCUGAGAGGACGAUCAGCCACACUGGAACUGAGACACGGUCCAGACUCCUACGGGAGGCAGCAGUGGGGAAUCUUGCGCAAUGGGCGAAAGCCUGACGCAGCAACGCCGCGUGAAUGAUGAAGGCCUUCGGGUCGUAAAAUUCUGUCAGGGGGGAAGAAGAUCUGACGGUACCCCCGGAGGAAGCCCCGGCUAACUACGUGCCAGCCGCCGCGGUAAUUC